UGAUACCUUGUUCAACUCAUUUUUGCACAACUAAGUUGAAAAUGCAAAGUUUAACCCAAAACUCAGAGUUUUUGAUCAAGUUCAGAAGUCACAAAGUCAUGCAAAUCUAAACUUCACUGUCUUACACUCAAGUUAGGAAGUCACAAGUCAUAUAGGGCAUAAACUAUAACCAAAAUCAUAGUCUUGUAUUAUCCAUAUACCAAUUUGGAAGUUCACAAAUUCAAAUACAUACAAAUUAGAAAGGACAUGACUACGUCAUGCACGGUAGCGCUAUCACGCUACCGCGCGUGCAUACAACAAAAGCAUGAGGACAUACCCUGCGCGCACACAUAAAAAAAAGGAAAGAGAAAACCCUUCCAAAAAAGGAAAACAAUUGUGAUAAAACCCCCCGCGACUCCUAGACCCCAUGUGCCAUCCCCCUCCAAGCGUCAUCCCCUUCACAAUGCUGUGCCUAGAAAGAAUCAACCAGAGAUCAAUCCCCAUAGAGAAAAAAGAAGAAAAAUGAGAAGGGAGGAGAAAACAAGAGAAACGAUCAUAUCCAAAAUACAGAAAUUCAGAUGUGAGUCUGAUUUUUAUUGACAGAAUUUAACGACCUGCUAGAAACAGAAUUUAAUGAGUCACUAAAACAUAUUAUCGAAUAAUCAACUUACGCGAAGAAUCCACACGGUGCGUUGACGGUUAAUGACUCGUGCAAAAACUUAGCGGCAACUCAACAAGACAUGCUGAACUUGCUAAAUGGUUAGCAGCUAGGGUAAUGAGUUAGAACAGCGAUAGCUAGUAGGGAGCAGCGUCAGUGACAGGGCAUGUAGCUGCAUGCGGCGACGGCGGCCUAGGGCAAGGGCAUGCACAUGUAGGAGUAGGAGGUGGCUGAGGUGGAGAGAAAAAAAAGGGAGAAGAUUGCUCCUCUAUUUAUAGGGGGAAUCUAUAAUCCUAACAACUUUAGAAAUCCAAUCCCUUUAAAAAAGAGAAAGAUAAGAUACAAGGAAAUAGGGGCUCAUAUAUGAAAGGUAAUUGUACGAGGGGGGAGGGGAGGAUCGGCUGUGGAGAGCAUGGAGGCAGGAGGCGGCCGAACCUAUGGUUGUUAGGGAGGUUGCCUGCCUGGGCUAGGCAAGGCUCACCAACAUGACUUCUGGCCACAAAGGGGGAAACCUACAACUAAAAAGAAAAAAAGAAAAAGAACAUGUUGUUGACUUUUA
RNAcentral lists this long non-coding RNA (1196 nucleotides) under Oryza brachyantha (malo sina). RNAcentral's name for it is "long non-coding RNA (OBRA_LNC003115)". The record is from RNAcentral. Lineage: Eukaryota; Viridiplantae; Streptophyta; Magnoliopsida; Poales; Poaceae.